UUUGUUAUUAUGUUUGAUUGUUUGUGAAUUCUUACAAAAAAAAAAAAAAAAAAAAAAAA
RNAcentral lists this non-coding RNA (59 nucleotides) under Prorocentrum micans. The record is from RNAcentral. Lineage: Eukaryota; Dinophyceae; Prorocentrales; Prorocentraceae.